UUACGGCCAUAUCACGUUGAAACACCAGUUCCCGUACGAUCGUCGAAGUUAAUCAACGUCGAGCCUGGUCAGUACAUAAAUGGGUGACCACUUGGUGAUGCCAAGUGCUGUU
Acanthosepion pharaonis is the source of this 112-nucleotide non-coding RNA. The record is from the annotation of a GenBank genome assembly. Lineage: Eukaryota; Metazoa; Mollusca; Cephalopoda; Sepiida; Sepiidae.